This is an unclassified non-coding RNA of Papio anubis (olive baboon), 148 nucleotides long. It matches the Rfam family "Metazoan signal recognition particle RNA". Rfam says of the family: The signal recognition particle (SRP) is a universally conserved ribonucleoprotein. It is involved in the co-translational targeting of proteins to membranes. The record is from Ensembl. NCBI's taxonomy places the organism in Eukaryota, Metazoa, Chordata, Mammalia, Primates, Cercopithecidae.
GCCGGGCAUGGUGGCGCAUGCCUGUAGUCCCAGCUAUUUGGGAGGCUGAGGUGGGAGGAUCGCUUGAGCCCAGGAAGUCAGGGCUGCAGCGAGCCAUGAUCAUGCCACUGCACUCCAGCCUGGGUAAGGCAGUGAGUCCCUCUCUCAA